RNAcentral lists this ribosomal RNA (253 nucleotides) under uncultured bacterium. RNAcentral describes it as "partial 16S ribosomal RNA". It matches the Rfam family "Bacterial small subunit ribosomal RNA", at positions 524 to 776 of the family's 1533-position model. The record is from RNAcentral.
UACGUAGGGGGCAAGCGUUGUCCGGAAUCAUUGGGCGUAAAGCGCGUGUAGGCGGCUAGGUAAGUCUGCUCUGAAAGCCCGGGGCUCAACCCCGGGAGGCGGGUGGAUACUGUCUAGCUUGAGUCCGGAAGAGGAGUGUGGAAUUCCUGGUGUAGCGGUGAAAUGCGCAGAUAUCAGGAGGAACACCAAUGGCGAAGGCAGCGCUCUGGGACGUGACUGACGCUGAGACGCGAAAGCGUGGGGAGCGAACAGG